GACGAACGCUGGCGGCGUGCCUAACACAUGCAAGUCGAACGGAGAUCCUUGGAGUGAGACUUCGGUCAAAUGAAUUGGAUCUUAGUGGCGAACGGGUGAGUAACGCGUGAGCAACCUGCCUUUCAGAGGGGGACAACAGUUGGAAACGACUGCUAAUACCGCAUAAUGUUUUCGAGGGGCAUCCCUUGAAAACCAAAGCUUUAUGUGCUGGAAGAUGGUCUCGCGUCUGAUUAGCUAGUUGGUGAGGUAACGGCUCACCAAGGCGACGAUCAGUAGCCGGUCUGAGAGGAUGAACGGCCACAUUGGGACUGAGAUACGGCCCAG
This 324-nucleotide ribosomal RNA is filed under the name uncultured bacterium. RNAcentral's name for it is "bacterial SSU rRNA". It matches the Rfam family "Bacterial small subunit ribosomal RNA", at positions 28 to 334 of the family's 1533-position model. The record is from RNAcentral.